This 761-nucleotide ribosomal RNA is filed under the name Bacillus pumilus. Its description in RNAcentral is "bacterial SSU rRNA". It matches the Rfam family "Bacterial small subunit ribosomal RNA", at positions 40 to 784 of the family's 1533-position model. Lineage: Bacteria; Bacillati; Bacillota; Bacilli; Caryophanales; Bacillaceae. The record is from RNAcentral.
CGGGGGUGCUAAUACAUGCAAGUCGAGCGGACAGAAGGGAGCUUGCUCCCGGAUGUUAGCGGCGGACGGGUGAGUAACACGUGGGUAACCUGCCUGUAAGACUGGGAUAACUCCGGGAAACCGGAGCUAAUACCGGAUAGUUCCUUGAACCGCAUGGUUCAAGGAUGAAAGACGGUUUCGGCUGUCACUUACAGAUGGACCCGCGGCGCAUUAGCUAGUUGGUGAGGUAACGGCUCACCAAGGCGACGAUGCGUAGCCGACCUGAGAGGGUGAUCGGCCACACUGGGACUGAGACACGGCCCAGACUCCUACGGGAGGCAGCAGUAGGGAAUCUUCCGCAAUGGACGAAAGUCUGACGGAGCAACGCCGCGUGAGUGAUGAAGGUUUUCGGAUCGUAAAGCUCUGUUGUUAGGGAAGAACAAGUGCAAGAGUAACUGCUUGCACCUUGACGGUACCUAACCAGAAAGCCACGGCUAACUACGUGCCAGCAGCCGCGGUAAUACGUAGGUGGCAAGCGUUGUCCGGAAUUAUUGGGCGUAAAGGGCUCGCAGGCGGUUUCUUAAGUCUGAUGUGAAAGCCCCCGGCUCAACCGGGGAGGGUCAUUGGAAACUGGGAAACUUGAGUGCAGAAGAGGAGAGUGGAAUUCCACGUGUAGCGGUGAAAUGCGUAGAGAUGUGGAGGAACACCAGUGGCGAAGGCGACUCUCUGGUCUGUAACUGACGCUGAGGAGCGAAAGCGUGGGGAGCGAACAGGAUUAGAAU